GACGAACGCUGGCGGCGUGCCUAAUACAUGCAAGUUGAGCGCUGAAGGUUGGUACUUGUACCAACUGGAUGAGCAGCGAACGGGUGAGUAACGCGUGGGGAAUCUGCCUUUGAGCGGGGGACAACAUUUGGAAACGAAUGCUAAUACCGCAUAAAAACUUUAAACACAAGUUUUAAGUUUGAAAGAUGCAAUUGCAUCACUCAAAGAUGAUCCCGCGUUGUAUUAGCUAGUUGGUGAGGUAAAGGCUCACCAAGGCGAUGAUACGUAGCCGACCUGAGAGGGUGAUCGGCCACAUUGGGACUGAGACACGGCCCAAACUCCUACGGGAGGCAGCAGUAGGGAAUCUUCGGCAAUGGACGAAAGUCUGACCGAGCAACGCCGCGUGAGUGAAGAAGGGUGUCGGAUCGUAAAACUCUGUUGGUAGAGAAGAACGUUGGUGAGAGUGGAAAGCUCAUCAAGUGACGGUAACUACCCAGAAAGGGACGGCUAACUACGUG
RNAcentral lists this ribosomal RNA (497 nucleotides) under uncultured bacterium. Its description in RNAcentral is "partial 16S ribosomal RNA". It matches the Rfam family "Bacterial small subunit ribosomal RNA", at positions 28 to 507 of the family's 1533-position model. The record is from RNAcentral.